RNAcentral lists this non-coding RNA (24 nucleotides) under Arabidopsis thaliana (thale cress). Lineage: Eukaryota; Viridiplantae; Streptophyta; Magnoliopsida; Brassicales; Brassicaceae. The record is from RNAcentral.
UGGUUAUGACGGCAAUCGCCUUCA